GACGAACCGUGCGAACGUUAUUCGGAAUCACUGGGCAUAAAGGGCGCGUAGGCGGCUUUCUAAGUCAGGGGUGAAAUCCGGCAGCUCAACUGUCGCAGUGCCUUUGAUACUGGAGAGCUCGAGGGAGGUAGGGGUCUGUGGAACUUCCGGUGGAGCGGUGAAAUGCGUUGAUAUCAUUAGGAACUCCGGUGGCGAAGGCGGCUCGCUGGAUCUCUUCUGACGCUGAGGCGCGAAAGCCAGGGGAGCAAACGGG
RNAcentral lists this ribosomal RNA (253 nucleotides) under uncultured bacterium. Its description in RNAcentral is "partial 16S ribosomal RNA". It matches the Rfam family "Bacterial small subunit ribosomal RNA", at positions 524 to 776 of the family's 1533-position model. The record is from RNAcentral.